CUACGGGUCGCAGCAGUGGGGAAUAUUGCACAAUGGGGGAAACCCUGAUGCAGCGACGCCGCGUGAAGGAAGAAGUAUUUCGGUAUGUAAACUUCUAUCAGCAGGGAAGAAAAUGACGGUACCUGACUAAGAAGCCCCGGCUAACUACGUGCCAGCAGCCGCGGUAAUACGUAGGGGGCAAGCGUUAUCCGGAUUUACUGGGUGUAAAGGGAGCGUAGGCGGCAUGGUAAGUCUGGUGUGAAAGGCAGGGGCUCAACCCCUGGACUGCAUUGGAAACUAUCAAGCUAGAGUGCCGGAGAGGUAAGUGGAAUUCCUAGUGUAGCGGUGAAAUGCGUAGAUAUUAGGAGGAACACCAGUGGCGAAGGCGGCUUACUGGACGGUAACUGACGCUGAGGCUCGAAAGCGUGGGGAGCAAACAGGAUUAGAUACCCCGGUAGUC
Molecule: ribosomal RNA, 439 nt
Filed under: uncultured bacterium
Lineage: Bacteria
Description: partial 16S ribosomal RNA
Rfam family: Bacterial small subunit ribosomal RNA
Source: RNAcentral